CGCCUCUUGAACCCAAUGAGAGGUCCAGCCUGCCCAGUGAUAUAUUCAACGGCCGCGGUAUCCUAACCGUGCAAAGGUAGCGUAAUCACUUGUUCUUUAAUUGCGGACUAGUAUGAACGGCAUCACGAAGGUUAUACUGUCUCCUUUUUUUAAUCAGUGAAACUAAUCUCCCCGUGAAGAAGCGGGGAUAAAAAUAUAAGACGAGAAGACCCUAUGGAGCUUUAAACAACAUAGCAAUUACUACAAACAAUUAAAUUUCCGAAUUCUAAACUUUUUAAGUAACAUGACUAUAAGUUUUUGGUUGGGGUGACCACGGAGUAUAACACAACCUCCAUGUUGAAGAUUUUAAACUAAGAGCAACCCAUCUAAGUAUCAGUACAUUGACAUCCAUUGACCCAAUAUAUUUGAUCAACGAACCAAGUUACCCUAGGGAUAACAGCGCAAUCCACUUCAAGAGCCCCUAUCGACAAGUGGGUUUACGACCUCGAUGUUGGAUCAGGAUAUCCCAGUGGUGCAGCCACUACUAAAGGUUCGUUUGUUCAACGAUUAAAAUCCU
Molecule: ribosomal RNA, 556 nt
Filed under: Poyntonophrynus pachnodes (Serra da Neve pygmy toad)
Lineage: Eukaryota; Metazoa; Chordata; Amphibia; Anura; Bufonidae
Description: partial 16S ribosomal RNA
Rfam family: Bacterial large subunit ribosomal RNA
Source: RNAcentral